GCAAAAGAGUGGGAAGAUCUUUGAGUAGAGGUGACAGACCUACCGAGCUCAGUUAUAGCUGGUUGCCUACAAAACGAAUAGAAGUUCAGCCUUUAUCCUUCUUCCCUCAACACUGCAUAUACUCGUAGUGACACAAAGAAGCUUAAAGAGUUAUUCAAGGGGGGAACAGCCCCCUUGAAGAAAGAUACAACUUUAUUAGCUGGCUAAAGAUUAAAAGACCUCAGGCAAAAUACCUUGGUGGGCCUAAAAGCAGCCAUCCAUGCAGAAAGCGUUAAAGCUCAAGUACUUCGCCCCUCCCUAAUACCAACAAUAAUAUCUUAAGCCCCUUUAUUUAUAGUAGGCCUUUUCAUGCAACCAUGAAAGAGAUACUGCUGAGAUGAGUAAUAAGAGGACAGCUCCUCUCCCCAACACCUGCAUACCUCAGAACGAACCCCCACUGAAAAUUAACGCCCCCAACCAGAAGAGGGGCCUGGGAAAGCCCAAAAUAAACUAGAAGCUCCCCCAAGACUUAGCGUUAACCCCACACAGGUGUGUUUAAGGAAAGACUAAAAGAAAAAGAAGGAACUCGGCAAACACUGGCCUCGCCUGUUUACCAAAAACAUCGCCUCUUGCAACAAGCGUAUAAGAGGUCCCGCCUGCCCUGUGACUAACUAGUUUAACGGCCGCGGUAUUUUGACCGUGCGAAGGUAGCGUAAUCACUUGUCUUUUAAAUGGAGACCUGUAUGAAUGGCACAACGAGGGCUAAGCUGUCUCCUUUUUCCAGUCAAUGAAAUUGAUCUUCCCGUGCAGAAGCGGGAAUAUAAACAUAAGACGAGAAGACCCUAUGGAGCUUAAGACACAAGGUAGACCGUGUAAAAUACCUGCCUAAACAGAAUUAACCAAACGGUUCCUACCCCCUUGUCUUUGGUUGGGGCGACCACGGGGAAACAAGUAUCCCCCGCGUGGAACGGGGCCCUCACCCCUAAAGCCAGAGCCACAGCUCUAGCUAGCAGAAUAUCUGACCUACAAGAUCCGGCAAAGCCGAUCAACGGACCGAGUUACCCUAGGGAUAACAGCGCAAUCCCCUUUUAGAGCCCAUAUCGACAAGGGGGUUUACGACCUCGAUGUUGGAUCAGGACAUCCUAAUUGGUGCAGCCGCUA
Molecule: ribosomal RNA, 1140 nt
Filed under: Gymnogobius breunigii
Lineage: Eukaryota; Metazoa; Chordata; Actinopteri; Gobiiformes; Gobiidae
Description: partial 16S ribosomal RNA
Rfam family: Bacterial large subunit ribosomal RNA
Source: RNAcentral